RNAcentral lists this long non-coding RNA (19566 nucleotides) under Ananas comosus (pineapple). RNAcentral describes it as "long non-coding RNA (ACOM_LNC019540)". The record is from RNAcentral. Lineage: Eukaryota; Viridiplantae; Streptophyta; Magnoliopsida; Poales; Bromeliaceae.
GAGAGAGAGAGAAUUUUUAAUUUAUUAUAAAAUUUAAAUUUCAUAAGUUUAAAAAUUAAAAUUUAUAAUUUAAAAGUUUAUAUUUUAAAUUUUAAAGUAUAAAUAUAAAAUAUAAAAAUUUAAAUUCUAAUAUAAAGAAAAGAAUAAUAUUAUUAUUUUUUAUUUAUAACUACCCACUUUAAUUCUUAUUCCAUCUUACCUAACCAAACGUUAUUUUUUUUAUUUUCAGGAAUAAUCCAAUUUUCAUCCAAACGUAAAAUUGAUCUAAUCCCCGCUUACACCUCAAUUUAUACCUAUUCCCGGAAUACCCACUUUUUGCUUAUCCUCGAACCAAACGAUACCUAAGGGUACAUAUUCAGUCCUUGUCUUGUCAAUUUUUUCAAAAAAAAUGAAAAUUUUAAAUAUUUUGUGAAUCCUAAAACGAGAGAUGUUAGAUUUAUACUCUAUUUUUGAAUGUACCAUCAGCAUUUAUCAUAAGCACCUGGUGUAAGUAGCAAUAUGAGAGAGAGAGAGAGAGAGAGAGAGAGAGAGAGAGAGAGAGAGAGAGAGAGAGACCUGAAGAACCAUCCAACCUGACCAAGCAACGCAGUUGCCAAGAAUGUAGACACAGCCCAAUGUCCAGUUGAGGAUUGGGUUUGAAGAGGCAACAAAAAGGGCUCCUAAUUUACUGUGUGGUUCUGUGUGCAGCAGCACUGGGAGCCCUUUGUAGAGAGUGAUCACAGUGGCCCCUCCUAUGCUAACCACUGUUCCUACCACCUUUGCCAAUCCAUGUCUCCUUUUAAUGUUAACUUGCUCGAGCCUGAUAAAAAAAGCAAGGAGAGAGGGUAAGAUUAAUUACAUAGAGAUGCAGAUUAGAAAUCAAUAGUACAGGACUGUUGAUUAUGUGAAUCUAGUAUCAGUCCCACCUCUUAUAUAUUUUAAUCCUCCAUCACUAAUCACCGAGUUACAACCUUUUUAAAAAUAAAUAAUAUUUUUAUUAAAUGGUUGAAGAUUAAAAAUAGAGAUGGAAUAUAGAACAGAUCAUUAAUGGUUCACGACUAGCUAGCUAGCGUGGUGGACUAGGUAUAGUAAAUAAUUACCAAAGAGAAGAGUGAGAAAGAAAUCUUAAAUAAUGCAAGAUAUAUAUUUGUAUAUUUUCGGUUAAAUGUAAGUUUUUUGUUCUCCCCAUGAGUAGUCACCCUACAUAUGGCACUACCUUAGAGCAGCAGCCAUGGCAAAGGUGAUGGCUGGAACUGUAUUCUGUAUAGCAGAAGCAUAAGUUGGAGACAAAUAAUACAAGCCCAAGAGAUAAAACCCCUGGUUAGCAGUGAUCCUGGAAAUAAAAUAAAUAAAAAGAAGAGCUAGUUAUCAAUCUAAAAGAAUAUACAAGAUCAAAAUUAAGUCGAACACGCAAAGUCCUGCUUUGUACUUACCCACAUAAUGCUAGAAGAAAGAACUGAACCAGCAAAGAGAAGGUUAGAGGUGGUCUAUCUUUCCUGAUAUAUAUAUAUAUAUAUAUAUAUAUAGAAAUGUUGAUAAAGGAUGAAAUGUUGUUAGAGUACAUAAAAGUAUGAAUAAUAUAUAUAUUUUUUAAAGAAAAGAAAAUCUUACUUUUCAAGAAAAUAGGCAAAAGGGGCCAACAAAACCAAGGCAAUCAUGUUCCUAUACACAGGGAAGACAAUCUUGCUGAUGCCCAUGUUGAGAGCAGCUCUUGAAACUACAUGAAACCCAGCAAGACACAGCUGCAGAGAGAGCACAGCUAUGAUGAGCUUAACCUUCUCAGACACAGUUGAGUCCCUCCCCAUUAUCUCUAAUCUCCUCAAGCUGAAUUUGCAAAGAGAUUGGUGUUGGUUGAGGGGAUAGUAUGGGGGGGGGGUGGGUAUAUAUAGUGUGCUUUGGGUGCUUACACAUGAUGAGGUGGUAAAGUCCCCACAUUGGAGGUUUAUUUACUGUGGUGUUUGUUCUGAAUUGGUUUUGAAAAGUGUAGUAGCUACCAUGCAGUAACUUGCCUACCUGACAUAAUCAUUUCUCUUAAUUAAUACACUAGACCAACAUUCCCGGGCCCAGAUAUGAUCUUUACCGCCUCAUUAUUUUGUUACUCAAAAGAUCGAUCUUUUUUUUAAAGUAAAAAGAUUGAUUUAUUAGAAAAUUAUUCAGAAAUAACCUGAAAUAGAUGCAUGACAAGUUGACAAUUAAUUAGUUAAGACUAAAAAUAAUGAUUUAAUAUUAUUGAACACGACGUGAAGAUUUACUCCAUUAAAUAUUUAUGGAGGGUGUCAAACCCAUGGCAUUAGAGAAUGGAAAAGGUUUUUAGUUGGAGGUGAUGUAUGCCAUGCUAUAUGUUGAAAUUAAAGAUUGAUCUAACAGGAGUAGCUGGAAAAUUAUUUUGUAGUACUGUAUUCAAAUGUGGGGCAAAAUUAAUGCAAUUAUUAUUAUAGAUAUUAAACCCUAGUUAGUAUAAAAAAAAUGUGUCAAAUCAAAUAUUAAACCACAAUUUUGUGAAGUAUAUAUGAUUAUAAUAUAUGGUGAGUAACUUGUAAAUGGGUGUGAAUUUAUCUUUCUCUCUCUUGGGUGGAACAUAAGCUUUUGAUGCAUGUACUUGUUGGCACCGAGUUUUUGGGAAUGGUUGGGGGGACAAGGAGGAGUUAGGGCAUGUUGGCCAGGCUGCUUAAUCUUGCAAUCAAUGUGGGGGAUAGACAAUGCAAUUUCUCUAUCUACUUAGCCAUCCUGUUCCCACCAACUUUUCUUUCUAUUCAUAUUCAUAUACUUUGGCAGCCCAUUUCUUUCAACUUAUGGUCUUUCUCCAUUUAUCUUGAAUAUGUUCAAUGACCUUUAAGGGUUUUGUUUAGUUUUUUUUUUUUUGUGUGUGUGUGUGUUUUUGUUUUUGGUGUGACUGUAAGAUCAAAACUCCAACAUUCCCUCUUCAAAAUUUAUAGUUCACUAGGUUCUUCUCAAUAGGGAUGAAAGUGGUUAGGAUAAACUUAUGAUCCUUGUCCAUUUAUCGAAUCUGGCACCGAAUUCGAUAGGAUGCGAAUAUGGAUGUAAAAAAAAUUUAUAUUCAUCGCAUUCGAAUAUAUAUAUAUAUGGAUGCAAAUAUGGUUUUUUUGAAUAGUCUAAUAGUAUGCGAUAGUUUUCACCCCUAAGAAAUAAGAGGGAUGUAAAUAUAUAUUGUAGGAGAGAUAUAGUGAUUUUCUACGUUUUUUUUUUUUAUCUUACUAUAAAUUUCAUGUUCAAAUUGCAUUUAUAUUUGUUAAAAUAUUAAAUUUUAUUGAAUAAAAUAACAAAGUUUGAACAUGAGUGAUUUAACCUUUAGGGUGCGUUUGGUUCGCACUAUAAAAAAUUACUAGCAAUAAAAAGAUGUUUGAAAAUCUUAUUUCUAUUCAUCCUAUUACUAAGAAUGUGGCAAUAUUCCUGUGUUUAGUUCGCAUGGUUAUAUUAUCUAGUCAUGUUGUUUAAGUUUACAAAAAAUAUACAAUUAAUUAAUUUAUUUCUUUAAUUAAUUCACUACAACAGAAUUAGGUUAUAGGGACACAUGUUUGGGACACUUUUGAGUAAGUAUCUCAUUUAUGCUAAAACUUACAAAAACAUCUACUAAUGGCUAAAUAUAAAGCCCAAUCCAACCAAAAAUAAAAGAUUACUCUACUCAACCCACCACACCCUGUCCAUUUGGCCCAAUUACAAACAGAAAAGAAAAAAAAAAAAUCAAUUACCAUCUUUUCUUCUCUCUUCACUCAAUCUACUGAAAUUCUAGACGAAGAGCCUUUCCUGUCGUCCUCCUCCGCCACCGCAGCCAACGAGAUAGAGUUUCGGCAGUUGCUAAAUGCUUAAAUAAGUGUUGGUAAAUUAGUAGCACUCUUUUAAGUUAUAGUGACACUCUUUAACUGUCACUAUAUACCUAGCGACCCCACAUAUAGCAACACUUUUUAAAAGUGUCGGUAAUUUUAGCUAGCAGCACUUUUUUGACAUAUACCUACAUUUAAAAGUGUCGCUAUAGACCGUUUUUGUUGUAGUAAUUUUAUAUAAUGUCACCAAAAAUUUCAACAUCUUUUUGGAAAAAAAGAGAGAGAACAUAGGUUAGAGAGAGAGAAAGCAUAAUUAAAGAAAUAGGAAGAGAAAUAGAGUCGAGAUUAGAGGGAGUUAGAGAGUUGAGAUUUUAGAAAAAGAGGGGGAGAGAGAGCUUAGUUUAGAGAGAAAAAAAGAGUUGAAGUUUAGAGAGAAAAAAAAAAGUUUAGAGAUUAGACAUAUUAUGAUUAUUCCAAUCCAUUGAUAUGAGGAUACCCACCCUCCCUCAAGGGAAUGUGAUUAGUACUUUGAGAUGAAUCUUAUUCCCAAAUAAAUCAAAUAUUACCAACUAGAUUACUUAGUGUGUUUAGCCAAACACCGUCAUAUUUUUUUAUUCCUAUUAGAUUACUAGGAAUCUUAGAAAGAUAGUGCGAAUCAAACGCACCCUUAAUUGCAUUGCAUGUCUUAUUCGCGCUAAUUUUAAUAUAUAUAUAUAUAUAUAUAUAUAUAUAUAUAUCCGAAUAAUAUCCGGAUAUGAAUCUAAUUCAUAUCUAAAUCCGAAUCCUAAUCCGUUUUAAGCCGAUAUGAUAAUGAAAAUUUUGCAUCUGAUACAUAUCCGUAUUCGAAUUCGCAUCCGAAGAAAAAUACGGAAGUGGAUAUAUAUGAUUUUGUCAAAAAACUGACUGUAUAUUCAGCCGUAUUCACCCCUAUUUCUCAACUUCCUGAAAAUACAUAUAUAUAUAUAUAUAUAUAGUUACUAGGAGAAGCCCAUUUACCUGACUAGUACAAUUCGAAUGAUAAAUCCAACUUUUGGAUAUUCUGGGCAGAAAAUAAAUCUAAACAUUCAGUUAAUAGGUAGUACUGUUUUGUAAUUUAUAAAUCUACAAUACUAAUUAAUUAAAUAAGGUGCCCAGCUCGCCAACUUUAUAUUCACAAGUUGUAGAAGUUUGAGUAUCUUGAUCUUCCCAUGCACAGAUAAUUAGUAGGAAAAUAUAAUUAAUAAUAUCUACCAAUUAAAUUGAAGACCAAGAAGGAAAAGGAAAAAUUUUGUUUCUUAAAUUCACUAUAUUCUGUUGAAACAGAUAUUUAAUUAUGGUGUCAAUGGCCGUGCUAAUGCAUCAAUUGAAUCUAGCUAAUCUGAUCCAAAUUUUAAGAUCUGGAUCAUAAAUUUUAGGGUCUAAUAUUAGAACUUUUAUAUUUAAAUUUGAAUCUAUUGGAUCACAUAUUGUUUUUUUUCCCAAAACGCAACCAAGCCAAGAUCCUGGAUACCAUAUUAUCCAACAACUUAUUAUCAGUUAAAAAGUUUGAAUAUUUUGAAGGAUCAACCCAAACCCUGUUGGAUUAUGUAAAGCUAUAUUCCAAGUCGAUACGCAGAAUUUGACUCUAAUUGGAUGUAAUUUUGUUCCAAAAGAUUAGGAAUAGUCCAGAAUUACUUUAAAAAGUAUUCCUAAAAAGGAUAUUGAUAACUACAUGUGAAUCAAAUUUGGAUGGAAGGCAAAAAUUGUUUCCUACUAGAAUUAAAAUUUUAGGGUUAUAUAAACCCUUGUAAUUAAUCUUUUAGAUUAUGAGCUUCAUUGAAAAUACCAUAUUUGAGAGGAAUACGUGAAGGGCUCCUGAGAGAGGGUUUCUUGUAAUCCAAUUUAUUCUUUUGUACUUUUGUGCCAUGGAUUAAUCGAAGAAAACAUUGAUCGAGAUGGUUUUGCCCGUGGACAGAGGUCGACUCAAGGUUGGCCGAACAACGUAAAUCCUGUGUUCUUGUGAUCUCUUAUUUUCUUUAUUGCUUUAUUAUCCUCAUGCUUAUUUUUUCUACGAUCGUUCUCGUCUCUUACAUCUGUGAAAUAUUCUGUAUCCGCUACACUCGUGUGCUGUGUGGGUUUGAGGUGUGCUCGGUAACCCUAUAGCCGGUCCCUUCAAAGCAGACCCGUUUAAUCUACUCAAUACAUCGUUUGUUGCUUGAUUUCUUUGCUAAUUAGCUAAAAUUAAAUAAAAUAAUUUCCAUUGCUUAAAUUUAUUAGUAUGUUGGGAAAUGAAGUGCAAUAUCUAUGUUGGAUGCUACUGUUCGUUAUCUCUAUAUAUAUAAAGGGUGCUAUAAUUUAGUAGUGGCCACAAAUAGAAACCAUUAAAAUAACAUUAGUUUACUUGUGAAAUUGAUGAUUAGAGAUGGAGCAGGAAAAUGAGAAGGAAUCAAAUGUCAUGUGAUCCUCUCAGAUGGUGUUGGUCAUCUUGACUAUUCCUUUGGUUCAUAAACCACUAAACAAAGUGAAGCACAUGGUUAGACAUCAUUGCUUGUAACAUGAUCUUGUAUAACUAACUAACUAAAGGGUUUAGAGAAAGCCAUGAAUAAGUUUGUACAUAGCAUGUGAUGUGACAACCACAUGCAUGAUUAGGUAAUCCUUGUGGAGAGAGAGGGACAUUCACAUUCUUAUUAGUUCCCUACUUAUCCUUCUAUGAAGAUACAUAAAUGACGCUUGAGGAGAGAAUAAACAAAAGACUGAUUCAGGCCACUAUUAGUCUGUAUUGAAGUUCUUUUCUUUUCUUUUCUUUUUUCUUUUUGUGUGUGUAUGUGUGUGUUAGUUAAGUACAACUUCUCUUUUCUCUCUACACGUGGUGUAAAGAGGGGUUUAGUGAGAUGUAAUCUCUAUAGAUUAAAAAACAAAACACCCAAGAUGCAUUAUGGCUCACACUUCAUGGUGUUAAUACACUAUGGAAUUUUCUCUCAAAAAAAAAAAAAUACACAUGGAAUUGCAAAUGUCAGCGAGUAAACCCUAAAGACUACGAAUAGUUUGAUCAUUUGGUCGCAGAUUAGCUACAAACUUGCAAUGACAAAUGAUUACAUAUUUUGAAAAUAUAUGGUCUAUUUGGCUUUGCUAGUACUUCUGAAAAGGUGGUAAAUUAUCUAUGGAAAAAAGUACUAACCAUUUUAUCAUCAAAAACAAUUAAUUAUCGUAAAAGAAGUAUUUCAAAUUGAGUUUCUACUAUUAGGCUAUAAGUGUCUGUUUGGUCAUGUUGGAGGGUGUAAUAAUUUCCUCUGCUAUGCAUCUGAAUAGUGCAAUUAGGAGAAACACAAUAUCCUCGACUGCUUCUUUCUGCAACGCAAUUAGAACUUCUCUUUUGAUUAUCGGAAUCUCAUUUUCACUUCCACUACAACAGAAACUCCAAAUUCUUCUCUUCGCCAGAUGCUUUACUUAAUGCUAGCCGUUACUGAAAGUAAAAGCAGAUCCGAGUCGCACAAAACAAGUCCGUAGAAACUUCUACGUAUUUUUAUUUUCCAGUGGAAAGAAAAUGUUUCGAAAGCAAGCAAGCCAGCCAAGCAUUAGGGCAGCCAAAUCAGACAUGCAGAUCCACUGUUCUUGUGCUUACAAUCCCCCUGCACAACAGCAAAGAGGGUCUGAGCACAAAGAAAUCCACUUGGUUUUCAUGUGGUCAGUAGGGAGCAGGAAACUAACAAGUUGGGAGCACUCAGAAUCUUCCCCUGAUCUGUUAUUGCAGCUUCAACAAUUCACUGAAUUAAUGAGACCACCAGGGAUUAUUUCAAAAUUAUUAUCAUAAGGCAAGUGUAUCUGCUAUUGACCAUGAGAAGUUCCAUCAAAGCAUGAGAAGCUUUAUCAACUUGUAAAUAUUAACCUUUCACUCAUGAUCACUGCUGAGACGAAGACUAUGUAGGGGUCGACGUAGGGUCAUUGAUAUUUGCAUGUGACAGUCACACAUGGAAUUAAUACAACCCAAUAGUUUCAUUAAUUAGAAGGUUGAUACAUUCACACUGAUGGAUCCAAACCUACAAGCUCAGGCCUUGUGUGUUAGUGUUGCUACGUUUAAUUCUUUACAGCAAUAAAUUCUACCGAUAGUGUUUGUGAGCAGAUGGCAAAUUGCUCGCAAUGUAGAAAUUUACGAUUUUAAAGUUAGUGUCGUACUGGCAAUAAAAAGUAAAAAUAAAAUAAUAAUAAUAAGAAUAGCCUUUUUCUAGAAAAGAUAUUAUUUUGCAUGUAGUUGGGUGCACCGCAAACUAACCAAUAAUAAUAAUAAUAAUAGAGAAUUCUAUACUUGCUACAAUUAAUUAUAUUAAAUAUGUGUUAACAAGUAUGAAAAAGGACAAUGGUAUCAGAUGAGGCAUUGCACUUUUACAUUUGGAUGACCUUCAAUAGCUAUGUCGUGUUCUUAGGCUUAUACAUGUGGGUCUGAAUAGGAUUACCUCCAUGAGAGGUUUUUUUUUCCUUUUUUUUAUUUUGGAGAGACGUCUACUUUGCUUAUUAUGUUUUUGAAAACAAAUUUAACUAAAAAUACGAGGCUAGCUUCGAACAUGGAAUCUCGGGUACUGAUCAUCAAGUCCUUUAUUAUUUGCGUUAGGGACAAUCAAUCUCCGCUAGAGAUCAUUAUUAAUGAAAGGUAUUUUGAAGGCCAAGGGAUAGAGAUAUUGAAGAAUAAAGGAAUACCCCAUUAUUACAUAUCUUUAUCAUUUAUUUUAAGUUAAAAAUAUAAAUUAAUCAUUAGUUGAAAUUUCCAACCGUCGGUCUCUACAAGAGAUUAUUAAUGAAAGGUAUUUUGGAGGAGAUGGAAUAGAGAUAUUGAAGAAUAAUAAAGCGAUACCCCAUUAAUUACAAUUCUUUAGCAUUUAUUUCAAGUUAAAAAUUUAAGAGAAAACUUUAAAAAACCCUCCUGUGGUUUCGUAGUUUCUCACUUUGCCCCUCUGUGGUUUAAAAUGUAUCAAUUUACCCCCCUGUGGUUUCUUUUUUCUCUUUUUCUUAUCAAUUUCAUUAUUUUUUUUUCUUAAAUCAGUGAUAAACUUAAAAUUAAAGGGUACUAAAGUGAAUAUUUGAUAAAUCUAAAUGGGUAUCUAAAGUUUUUUGUAUAUAAUUUAAUGAAAUAUUAACGAAAAAGGUACCGAAAAGAUAAAAACGAAACCACAGGGGGGCAAAUUGAUACAUUUUAAACCACAGGAGGGCAAAGUGAGAAACUACGAAACCACAGGGGGGGGUUUUUGAAGUUUUUCCAAAAUUUAAAUUAACUAUUAGUUGAAAUUUUUUUUUUUUGAGAAAAGGUAGCAAGCUACCUGCUUCAUUCAUUAAGCAAAAUGAACUGAGCAAACAAGUUAGAAGCAGCUAGGGCUUCCGAAGAAACGAGAAAAAAACAGGUAAAAACAUAGAAAAGGAAACGGGAAAGCGAGCUAGGGAGAGAAGCUAAUGACGCGUCAGCGCAGAGCGGCCCAAUCGGUGAUCAGAAGAUUAACUCGUCCUAGAGACCUGGAAGCAUCGGGCGGGGUACCCCGGAAUAUGGCGUUGUUUCUGUCGCCCCAAACAAUCCACCAGAUUGCUGCGAGAAGGGUCAGUCCUUGUGUUCUCAAUGCAGGGAUGAUUGAAGUUUGUUCCCAGAGAUUUCGGGCGUCGUCCGUGGAACCAUUAUAUACCACCAAGCCUUCCGAACUGAAGAGGAGGUAUCGUACAUAGACACAAUUAUGGAAUAGGUGGUCGCAGCUUUCCGUAAGAACCGCGCAGAAGACGCAGUAUUGGUCUACUAGGACGCCUCAGUGAAGUAAUCUGUCGGCCGUGAGCAAUCUCUUCUGCAGUAGUAGCCAAACGAAGAUUUUGAUUUUAAGUGGGAUUUUGCAGCCUCCACAUGUGGGUGUUCGACAGGGUGCGCUGGCCAGAAUCCGUGAUAAAAUUGUAAAGAGAUUUGACAGAGAAAAGUUGAUUGGAGGUCCAUCUCCAUUUUAUCAUGUCCGGUCGGUUACUCAGAGUAUGGUGUAGGAGCAACUCUUUGAGCAUCGAAAGCUGUCUACGCCUUCCAACACAGUGUGAAGCCGCAAACCCACGGCAAAUGAAACGCCAUCUCCAUCCCUAGGGGGUCCAACAUUGGGAGACUGUAGCCUCAGUGUUCGAGACGUUCUGAAAAAUGUCCGGGAAUAAAGUGCGAAGAGGGGUCUCUCCCAACCAGAUGUCCGUCCACAUCCUGAUGUUUUUUCCAUCUCCAAGCUCGUGUGUUACUUCGCAAAUAAACACUUCGCGGCAUCGAAGCACAUUUUUCCACCACUGUGAGUAUGGGACGAAAGCCCUUCCCUCGUGUAGUGGUUUCCUUCAGAUGUAGUAGAGAGAUCAUAUCAGUUUGCACCAAAGCAGGUUUGGUUCGUUGAAGAAGCGCCACCACCAUUUGGUUAGUAGAGCCAGAAUCAUGGAUUGCAUGUCCAAAAUCCCUAGUCCGCCUUCUCUCUUGUUUUUGCAAACGGAAUUCCAACUGACGAGACAUGCGCCUCCUGCAAUGUUGGAACGCCCUUUCCAAACGAAGGCUCUUCUGAGGGCUUCGAUCCUGUGAAGAACCCAGUGUGGCGCUUUGAAGAUGGAGAAGAAGAAGAGCGGGAUGUUAGUGAGGACCGAGUUUACCAGGGUGAGUCUUCCCCCCGUGGAGAGGAGCUUAGCUGAAAUUUUCAACAGCUUAAUUUCUUCAUUUAAGUUAUAUAUUAAUACUCCACUAUUUUUCCUUUUUUGUCCAAGUAUAUAUAUUUUUUUCAAUGCUAGGUUAAGAACAUUAAAUGAUAUAUUCAUCAUUGUCUUCCAACCAAGUGACCAACCGAUACAUAUAUCUACAUCAAGAAAAGGUUUUAUCUCCAACCACUGUUUGGGGAGUUGAUAAAUACAUGUUCUUUGAUUGUGACAUACAUGGAACUAGCUAGAUCCUUUAGAGCAUUUAGAAAAAGGUCAAUUUUAAGUCAAAGGACAUUUAAUUUGGUUAUGUGUUAUCACACUCCAAAGUUAUUAUGAUCAUCACUGAUUGGUCCUCUCUCUCUACCCACUAUGAUCAUUACUAAUUUGUCCUCUCUCACUAUAGACGAGUUAUAAAUGCUCAAUUGCCCGCAAAUCAUGAGCAACAAAUAAAUCUUUUUUGUGGUAAAUAAUGUGUAGAUCUUAUGUAAACUAUAGAACAUUUUUAAGUAAAUACUUAAGCUUCAAAAAUUAGAUUUUUGCAUAAUUUUACACCUUUUUAUUUAAGAAAUUUCUAUGCUUAAGGAAUUGUAUAUAAUUAAUUAUCUUUCAAAUAACAAAAUAUUUUAAUAUAUUGCAGAUAGAAUAUUUUAUAAAAAUGUCGAAAAUGCUAUUUCGGAAAUUAAAUUGAAUAUACAAAUCAAACUUAUAAUUUGAUAGAUAAUUCUAUUAAAGUUCAAAUAUUUAUCUAAAAAAUGUACUGUAAUUCUAGUAAAAUGCAUUAAGUACUUUUCCACUCUUUGUCUUUUCACAUAGAAAGGGCGUAACAUUUAUAUUUCAUCGGAUUUACAUCAUAUAUAAAUACAUAUCAUAUAUCCAUAGAAGCUAUCUUUAGAAUCUCACAUUGUUUGAUAAUUCUUGUCUAUAUAUGUAAUUGGACUUGAACCAGCGAGAAUGUCAUGAUCUCAGUAGGGAAAGUCUGUAAUGGCAAAAUAAUCUCACAUUGGAUAGAAAAUUGAUUAUCAUUGAAUACCCAAUGAGGAAUAAUAUAUGCAUAUAUGGAGGAAUGCUAGAUUUAUAAUCCAAAAUAGGUUAUAAUUUUACAAUUCAUCAUUUAAGGUCCAACUUUUCUACAAUAUAGUCUUGUCUUUUUUUUAUAAAACCCACAAAGGAGUUGAGUAUACCCUAGUUGCCCUUCGACGAACGGUUAUUGCAAUACCUUUUUGAUUGUAAACAUACCAAAAUAAACCUAAAAAAGAAUCAAAGAGGACGAUAUAUCAAAUCGUUGGGACUAACCAUUAAUCCUAAAUAUUCGAGCUGUUAAAAAUAGAUAACCAAUUCACUUAAAGUGUACAGACAUAGGCUCACAAGUCUCGAUUGUGAAUCGGCCCAACCGGUUUCACGCCACUUCGAAUAUGAUUCGGUCUAACCCAGUCUUACACUACUUCGAAUAUGACUCGGCCCAACCUGACCUUCCGCCACAAGGCAGAAUGCUGGUCCCUUUAAGCCAAUAAUCUCCCCUCCAACACCUGCACAAAUUUUCAUCAUGCGGAAAUCAAAUCCAUGAUCUCUGGGUCUUAUACCACUUGUCGGAUCGUUGGUGCUAAUUAAUCCCAAAAGCUCGAGCUAUUAGAAAUAGACAACCAAUUCUUUUAAAGCGUACAGACACACCACCUACGGGUCUCUAUUGUGAUUCGGCCCAACUAGCCUCAUGCCAUUUUGAAUAUGACUCGGCACAAGCUAACCUCACGCUAUUUCGAACAUGACUCAACCCAAUCUGUUCUCCCGCCACAAAGCAAGACGUUGGUCCCUUUAAGCCAACAAAAUAGUGCUAGCUAGAAUCAAUGGUAUGUGCUGUAGAAAUUCCUGAGUCACAAAUAUAAAGUUCAAAAUCAAUUCUAAGUGCAUAUAUAAUUUAAUUCUCUAAAUUUGUAUUCUGCUAUUAUUUUUUAAUAAUAAGUUUUUUGAAAAAAAUAGAAUAGAAACUAUGUGAUGGUAAGAUGCUGUACUUUAAGUAAUGUGGUCAAUUUAGCAUUAAAGUUCAUGAAAAAACAUGACUCAACUAAGCUAGGCUGGAAAUCUUGUUGAAUUCGAUAAUUUUCACAACCAGCGCAGAAAAUCUUUAAAGGGUCAUAACUUUUCGGUCGGAUGUCCAUUUUCACUGUACAACCCUAACUCAGAAAACACUUUUCGAGAUCUACAUGUUAAUUAGUAAAGCUGUUUGGCUGACUUUGGGGCCCAAAUUCAACUAUUUAGACCUCUAUUUUUGCAUUUUUAAAAUAUUUUUGAAAAAAAAAAAUUUUUUGCUUUGAAUUUGGUUAUUUGGUUAUUUGUGUUUGGUUUAGAUUUAGAGAUAAAUUAAGAUUUAUUAUCUUCUAUCAUAGUAGGAUUCAAGUAAUAUUGCUUCUAUAUAUACAUGAUUUUCGGUUAAUAUAAUUAGUUUUUAAAGUCAAUUAAUAAUAUUUUUCUCUUUAUUGUAGAAUUGUAUUCUUCAUGCAUGUAUCUCUUUUUUUUCUUUUCAAGUGAUCGUUUAUAACCGAAAACGUCUUCACCACUCUCUACUUUCAUCCAAACAAGCAAGCCCUUAGGCGUGCCGCAUUAAAUCAUAGAGUAGCUGGAUUAAUUCUUCUAUAUUUUUUGGAACUCAAAAAGCAAUAUAAAGAGAAAAGUUGCAUGUGGAAUCUCUGUCCCUCUCUCAACCCCUCCCUACAUGCCUCAAGACGCUUCUUCAGAAAAAAAAUCUACAGUGUCAUUCUUGUACCAUACCAUCAGUAACAAACUAAUCGUAUCUCUCUUCCUGAAAGAAAAGUACGAUAAAAUUAUUUUUCUAUUAAUCAUGAUGGAACAGGUGAACCUAAAAGGAACAAUCCUAUUGAUUGAAAACGCCGUACCAGUAAUAUAAUUGGUAAAUUCUAAAAUUUUUUCUUUCUUCACGCACUUUUCUCUCUCUCAACCUCUCUUCUCUCAACCCUAGCGCGCAUGAGUUCCUAUUGGCCCAUUCGCUUUAUAGCUUUUUUCCUUUUUCUCCCGAACACCAAGAGUGUGCAACACACCCCCACCCCCCGAAAGAGGCGGUGAGUACAACUGCAUGUCCCAGCCCAUGAAAGCACAAUUUAAUGCUGUGUCCUCUCUCACUCUACGUACUGUGCUUAAUAUUGCUACUACCACAACCGGAUAAUAUAUAUUUUGGGCUCCGUGGGUAAAAGAUUUAUGAAACUUACGCCUACUAUAGACCAUAUCGAGUUUUCUUUAGGUAAAAGAUUUAGGAAACUUACUCGUAUUAUAGACCAUAUCACUCUACACUUUAAAAUAUUGAUUUUAGUAUCCAAAUUUUUAAUUACUUUGAUUUACAUAAUUUGAUAGCUCUUCAUAAAUAAAAUAUAAGCUAAUUGCUUACUUUAAUCAAUUUAUAGUUACAUAAAUUAUAUAAAUUAUAAUAAUUAAAUCUGUAAGGAUAAAUGACUGAUUCAACUUUCGAGGUUAAAAUGUCACUAAUUAGUCCAAAUCAAAUAAAUUUGAAGAUUAGGCAGUAAAAGUAAAAUAUUUAAAGAUUAGCUAGUCAAAUAAAAAUUCAUGAUAGUUGGGAUGAAUUUUAUACAUUUUACAUUUUUUUUAUAAUAAUUAAGAAAAAAAUACAAAACUAUAUAUNNACUACUUUGAAUAGGCUACCCAUCUUUUAAAAUUUUGAUUUUACUACCCAACUUUUCUUGAGUCGGUGAGUGGCACUUUGAUUUUAAAAUUUAAGCUAAUUAUUUAUUUUAAUGAAUUUCUUAUUGCAAGAAUUAUAUGAAAUAUAGUAACUAAAUCUGUACCAAGAUAAACAAUACAUUUAAAUAUUGAAAUCAAAAUGCCGUUGACCGACUUAAAUCAAAUAUAUUAAAAUGUUGGAUAGUAAAUUAAAAUUUUAAAAAUUUAGAUAGAUAAAUCAAAAUAAUCCAUAGUUCAAGUAAGUUCUAUACGUUUUAACCUAAUAAUUAUUUAAUAUAAGAACAAUGAUAAUUAAUUAAAACUUUCUACGGUAAAUUAACUUCAAUUUGCCCCACUUAUAGUUUAUCUAUAUUUUUUCACAUCACCACCCAAUAGUUCAAAAAACUGUGCGUACGCUAUUGUGAUUUUAUUUAUAUUUAUUUCACCAUAAAUACUACUCUAUUAUAUUGUGAUUUUAUAUUUAUUUCACCAUAAAUACUUAAUAUUAAACACGAUAACAAAAGAAUAUAUUUUAUAGGUACAUGUUGGUACAAUUAAUAUUAUUCUAAUAUUUAAUAAUCUGCACUUUACUAUUUUGUGAUUUGUAAUAUUACUUUAUUUUUUAAAGGCAAGUCUCUAUAAUGAAACAGUAAAUAAAAUCUCGGGAUAGUUGAUUACCAAGGUGACAAAGCUGCGAAGAGAAGUUUACUAAAUUUUUUAUCUUGCAUAAAACUGUACUUUUUGAGUGAAAUUAAGUGCAACAUUUUAAUUAGAUCAUCAUUGUAGCGCAUAUGGCCGAAUAGAAUUAAUUUGAUAUAAAUUCUAUGUGAUGUACAUACAUGUUAGAAGUUCAAAAGAAGACUUUCUCCCUGUGAAGUACUGAUAUGUUGGAUCUUGAACUAGAAUGCGAUUGAUGAGAUAUAUAGAAUGUGAUUGAUGAGACAUCUUUGCACACAUGAUAUAAAGUUGGUGAUUAGAGAUUAAUUAAUUUUACUUUCCAUAGUUAAUUUUCAUAUAUACCUAGUAUCAUGUUGGCAAUUUGAAAAAGAUAAACCACUAGCAAUCUACUAUCUGUACAAGCCCAACUGAUUAACCCUAUUUUCAUACUUCAAGAUACCUAUAAGACUAAAAAUCUGUUCGACCUUACUGUAGGAAAUAGUUUGAAUUUAUGACGUGUUAUUUAAAAGUACUUCAGGGCUUGAGAAUUUCAUUUCUUUCUUUUUACCUAAUGGAAACUUGAAAGUUUUCAAUUCACAAUAUGUACUACAGAUAAACACACUUCUUAAGAGGAAACAAAAAAAAAUGAAGAAGCAAAGAAACAGGCAUGACAUUGUAAUGCCCCAAACUGAUUGUAGUAGUAAUGAAUCCAACCUUCCUCAAUGAAUGCACGGAUGAGCCAGACAUGCCAAUUCAUUCUUAGCUAGCUAGCAAGCCUAUCACAAUAAUUGUAGGCUAACAAAGCUGCCCAUACAGGUUCCCUUAAUGUACCCAGACAUCACUGUCGAGCUGUGGGCGUGCGUGUGGGCGUGUGUGUGGUCGUGGAUCUGUCAAUUGCGAUGCGUCCUUCUGAGUGCGCACAUCUUGUCGGAAGCUCUAGAGCCUAUUUGGUUCGCCCAUUUAAGAAUAACAAUUUAAUAUCAUAUAAAAUUUAGAAUUUUCAUCUGUGUAUAAUACAAUUUUUUGACUUUGUUUGAUUUAUCAAUUUUGUGAUGUUUUUCUAAAAAAAAUUAUAUAUUUCAUAUAGAAUUGCAAGUCAUGAAUUUUUAAUAUACUCGGAAGCUUCCUAUAUUUCUAUCUAAUAGAUAUAUUAAAAUAUCAUUUGGUGUAUGUUUUUUUUAUUACCAUAAUUAAUGGGAAUGAACACUCUAUUAAUAAGAAUAUACAAAUUCAUUGCACCCUCUCAGUCUAAGUACAUGGCAUUGUGACAAUCUUGUCACUUCAAAUAGAAAAUACGACAUUUUCUAGAGUGCCAUACAUUAUUGGUGAGACCAACAACUUUGUAGAGUCUAUUUGGAUGUCGAAACAUGUUAUCUAAUAAUAAUUUAGUCAAUAUGAGGGCAUUUUUUUGUAAGUGAAAGUUAGAUUUUAACUCCUUACGCGGUAUUCCAGUUAUCAGGGACCAAGCCAGGAUUUAAUUCUGGGGGAGGGCCAAAAAUAUAUUAUGCAAAAUAUAUUAAUAAAACAAACUAUAUAUAAUAAAAAUUUAAAGUACACAAAUACAAAAAAAAAAUUUUAAAAAUUUUACGUACCAUACAAAAAUUAGAAUAGUGCUCAGCGCUCCUUCAAGUCACGAAAUUCAUCAAUAAUUGAAUCAAUAGUAAACUUCUCGGCAAUUUCUCUUUCAAUAUACACGAUCAAAGAAUUAGUGAGAAAGUCAUCAUCCAUCUUAUUCCGAAGAUCGGUUUUGAUAAUACUCAUCGCGGAAAAUGCCCGUUCAGUUGUUGCAGUUGAAACUGGAAGAAGUAAUACAAGUUUAACUAAUCUGUAGAGAAGUGAAUAUAUUUCUGACUUUCUUGUUGCCACCAACCAUUGACAUAAUUCAGAAAUAGUUGUCAAUUACUUAAAUAGUUGAACAAACAACAACUAAUAAAUCAAGAGCGUACCAUACAAUGACAUAAAAGAAAAUAUUUAGUUAUUCACGAUUGACGGUUCACUCACCGAUCAGGCGGUCACCAAAAAAUUAUUCAAAAGAAGCUGAUAGUCCAGAAGGGUGUAGGCGUGUAGCCGUGUAGUUCGAGGCGCCGAGCGGCCCGAGCCCGAGCGGACGAGCGGCGAGGGGCGAGCACCACCGGCGGCCAGCGUUCGGCGGUCCGGCAAGCUAGAGAGAGAUUGAAAUUUGAGAUAAGUUAGAGAAAGAGAGAGCUCUGAGCCUGUGACUCUCGGAGGCUGGGAAAUGGGAAUGGAAGUGUGGAAAUGGGAGAGAGAGAAAGAAAGUGUGGAACUGAGAGAGAGAGAGAGAGAGAGAGAGAGAGAGAGAGAGAGAGAGAGUAUGGUUAAUUAGUGUGGAUUGACAGAUUGUGGUGCACUGGUGUGGGAGGAGGCGCCGAGGCGACUGGCGAGCGUCGGGCGAGCGGCGGGCGGCGCCUGGGGGUGGGCAUCAUGAUGCAUGCGUCAUGCUGCUCAUGCAUGAAGCGUGGCCCACAAGCAACUUUAGUGUUCAAAACAAUUGCAGUUUGGUCCCUAAAAAUUAUAAUAUUUUAAUUUUUUGAACAACUUAAGACUAAACCUUUUUGUAAUUUUAAAAAGUUUGGGGGGGCCAUGGCCAUUGUCGGCCUAUGCAUGGCCUCGUCCCUGCCAGUUAUGAUUCGAUAGGAUAGUGACGUAGGCUUAAAAGCUGUCUGAUAUAAGAUGAGUAAGGAUGGAAAAAUUAAUGAACUACUUUACUUCAGGAAAUAGGACCCUCAGACGAGUGUCAAACAGUAAUUCUGCAGUAUGCGGAUGACACAUUAUUCUUCGCAAAGCCCAAGAUGUCUGCUAUGCGUAAUCUACUUUUUAUCUGGAAGAUGUUUGAAUGGGCAUCUAGCCUUAAGAUAAAUAUGAACAAGACGGAACUUUACCACUUGGGAAUUACCGCAAACAGAGCGAAACGAUAUGCGGACAUUUUGGGGUGCAGAGUCGGUAGCCUACCGUUCCGCUACUUGGGCCUUCCGCUACAUAUCAACCCCCUUCGUAAGGAAGAGUGGAUGCCGAUCAUCAACCGCAUCGAGACGCGCAUUGAAGGAUGGAAGGCAAAACUCCUCACACAAGGGGGGAGACUCAUCUUGGUCAACUCGGUACUCUCGAAUCUUCCGUUAUUCUACUUUGCAAUCUUCAAAGUACUGCAAUAGGUGCUGAAACGAAUUGAAGCGCUUAGAAGAUCCUUUUUUUGGAAAGGGUGUUCCAAAAUUUCGAGUGGUUCUUGCCUCGUGGGUUGGAAAACGAUUUGUAGGAGCAAAAAAGAAGGAGGUCUAGGGAUAAAAGAUAUGGAAGCUAUGAAUAAAGCGCUUUUAGCAAAAUGGUGGUGGCGUUUUUUCAACGAGAAAUGUCUGUUAUGGGGGAGGUUGAUCACUGCAUUAUAUUACACCAGAAGACGGCCGCUACGCGAAGGUAGAUCCUUCAGACCUUACUCUCAGUGGUGGAGAAGUGUGAUGAGCUGUCAAGACGUGUUCAAAUGCGGUAUUUCGUAUGUUCUCGGCGAUGGGAAAAAUAUCAGAUGGUGGUCGGAUAUUUGGAUCGAUGAAACCUCUCUUAGUACCCGAUUUCCACGAAUCUUCGGCAGUAUCACAAAUAAGAAAGCCACGGUCUCACAAUGUUGGAACGAAAGAGGGUGGAGAUGGCGCUUCUUAACCAGCUUUGAUACGCCUACCAAUGGUCAGAACUGCCAACAGGCGGCGUUGUUCAAAAACCUUCUCUCUCACUAUAGCCCAUCAGAUUCACAGGACAAACUAAAGUGGCGUUGGACCGCCAACCAAAUCUUUACCGUCAAAUCACUUUAUGAAUUCAUCACCGACGGAGGACAGACUGAUACUUCGUACGAUCAUCUAUGGGGGUUAAAAAUCCCGCUCAAACACAAAGUUUUCAUUUGGAUUCUACUUCGAAAGAGAUUACCUACGGCAGACAGAUUGCUUCGCCGAGGGUGUAUUGUGGAUCAGCACUAUAGGUUCUGUGUGUUACUAGCCGAAACCGUUGACCACCUAUUCCACGACUGUAUCGUCGUCAGAUUUCUUCGUUGUAAAGCAGGAGCCUUAGUGGAGGAGAUUUCGGAUGUGGGGGAUGUAUGUCACCUGUGGACACAGAUCUCGGACAUUCCCGAGGCCAUUACAAGAUCAAAAUUGUUAACCAAAUUGGCGGCAAUUUGGUGGGUUGUCUGGAGCGUAACGGCGUGUGCUUCCGCGACGUGCCCCUUAAUGUUUCCAGGACUCUCGAACGUGUCGCCGUUUUGAUCGAAGCCUGGAACGAAGCACUUUGAUUAUCUCCCGGCCUUGGUGCUCUACCCUCUGUUUACCCUUUUGUUUAUUUUGGUUUGCUCGUGUUUACUGGGUCUCAUGGACCUGGUUUUUGUUGUCUUGUUGUUUUCUCUUGUUUUUCUCCUCUUGUUCCCUCGAUUCGGAGGCCCUGGCUGCUUCCAAAUUGUAUGCUAAAUUCAUUUUGCUUAAUGAAUGAAGCAGGUAGCUUGCUACCUAUUUCUCAAAAUAAUAAUAAUAAUAAUAAUAAUAAUGAACUACAAAAUCUCCUUCUACAAUAAGUUUUGAGUCCUAUUUAUAAUGAAAUUAAGAAAAUUCAAAUCCUAUUCUAUUCUAAAUCAAAUCUCAAAAUUUUAUCAAUUUUACUAAAACGAAUUUAUUUAAUCCUAAUUUAAAACUUUCAAAGUCACAUCCCUAAUUUUUAGGAAAUUGUUCCUCAUAAAAAAUCCUAAAAAAUAAAAAAUUACUAACAUAAAAUUAAAAAUUAAAAAAAUAAAAUUAUAAUCCUAAUUAUUUUUUUGACUACGUUAUUCACAGCAGAUCUC